AGCUCUUUGUUUUGGAAACCAAUGAUUUUGAAAGUCAUUUAAAGACGUUCAAAUCGUCUAAGAGCUU
Molecule: transfer RNA, 67 nt
Filed under: Euthalenessa festiva
Lineage: Eukaryota; Metazoa; Annelida; Polychaeta; Phyllodocida; Sigalionidae
Description: tRNA-Ser
Rfam family: tRNA
About the family: Transfer RNA (tRNA) molecules are approximately 80 nucleotides in length. Their secondary structure includes four short double-helical elements and three loops (D, anti-codon, and T loops). Further hydrogen bonds mediate the characteristic L-shaped molecular structure. tRNAs have two regions of fundamental functional importance: the anti-codon, which is responsible for specific mRNA codon recognition, and the 3' end, to which the tRNAs corresponding amino acid is attached (by aminoacyl-tRNA synthetases). tRNAs cope with the degeneracy of the genetic code in two manners: having more than one tRNA (with a specific anti-codon) for a particular amino acid; and 'wobble' base-pairing, i.e. permitting non-standard base-pairing at the 3rd anti-codon position.
Source: RNAcentral